This is a non-coding RNA of Pelobates cultripes (western spadefoot toad), 262 nucleotides long. Lineage: Eukaryota; Metazoa; Chordata; Amphibia; Anura; Pelobatidae. The record is from the annotation of a GenBank genome assembly.
UAUAGUCACAUGUACAAUUGCUAAUAGAACAUUUCAUGAACACAUAUCUAAUUUAAAACAGCGGGCAUUAAAAAACGAGUCAAACAUAAUUCAGUGUAAUUCCUUCUAAACAGUUGCACAUGUUUUUUGUCAAUUUGUAAUUAAACACUAUACAAUGUUGCAAAAGGAAAAUUAUUUAAAAUUAUUAAGAUCUUACUAUAAAUAUAUCUCAGGCUAGAAAUAUACAUAUAUUUCAGUUUAGUAAAUGCAAAGUGAAUAAUGC